AUAUUGGUAAUGGGCGAAAGCCUGAACUAGCAACGCCGCGUGUGCGAAGAAGGCCUUCGGGUUGUAAAGCACUUUUUGAGAGGAUGAGGAAGGACGGUACUCUCAGAAUAAGUCUCGGCUAACUACGUGCCAGCAGCCGCGGUAACACGUAGGAGGCAAACGUUAUCCGGAUUUACUGGGCGUAAAGCACGUGUAGGUGGUUUGGUAAGUAGGGCGUGAAAGCUCCUGGCUCAACUGGGAGAGGCCGUUCUAAACUGCCGAACUAGAGGAUGGUAGAGGGAGGUGGAAUUCCGGGUGUAGCGGUGGAAUGCGCAGAUAUCCGGAGGAACACCAGUGGCGAAAGCGGCCUCCUGGACCAUUCCUGACACUCAGACGCGAAAGCUAGGGUAGCAAACGG
This 397-nucleotide ribosomal RNA is filed under the name uncultured bacterium. Its description in RNAcentral is "bacterial SSU rRNA". It matches the Rfam family "Bacterial small subunit ribosomal RNA", at positions 359 to 775 of the family's 1533-position model. The record is from RNAcentral.